GACCUGGUGGUGAAUGGCUCAUACCCACUUCACUUGAUUGACGCCUGCAGUGAUUCAGUGGGUGUCCUCGGUUCGAAUCUGGGCCAGGUCA
Molecule: non-coding RNA, 91 nt
Organism: Mycena albidolilacea
Lineage: Eukaryota; Fungi; Basidiomycota; Agaricomycetes; Agaricales; Mycenaceae
Source: the annotation of a GenBank genome assembly